AUUGAACGCUGGCGGCAGGCCUAACACAUGCAAGUCGAACGGAUCGCCGGACGGGGGAGUAAUGCCUAGGAAUCUGCCUGGUAGUGGGGGAUAACGACCGGAAACGGGCGCUAACACCACCUACUCUCAGAUUAGCAUAGGUCGGAUUAGCUGGUGGGUGGGGGAAAGGCCGACCAAGGCGACGAUCCGUAACUGGUGUGAGUGGAUGAUCAGUCACACUGGAACUGAGACAAGGCCCAGACUCCGACGGGAGGCAGCAGUGGGGAAUUUGGGACAAUGGGGGAAACCCUUAUCCAGCCAUCCCGCGUGUGCGAGGAAGGCCUUCGGGUUGUAAAGUACUUUUGGCAGGAAAGCGGUACCUGCAGAAUAAGCACCGGCUAACUCCGUGCCAGCAGCCGCGGUAAUUC
RNAcentral lists this ribosomal RNA (407 nucleotides) under uncultured bacterium. RNAcentral's name for it is "partial 16S ribosomal RNA". It matches the Rfam family "Bacterial small subunit ribosomal RNA", at positions 30 to 526 of the family's 1533-position model. The record is from RNAcentral.